Molecule: ribosomal RNA, 493 nt
Filed under: uncultured bacterium
Lineage: Bacteria
Description: partial 16S ribosomal RNA
Rfam family: Bacterial small subunit ribosomal RNA
Source: RNAcentral
ACGAACGCUGGCGGCGUGCUUAACACAUGCAAGUCGAACGGAAAGGCCUGUCCUUCCUUGUGUUGGACGGGUACUCGAGUGGCGAACGGGUGAGUAACACGUGAGUGAUCUGCCCCCAACUUGGGUAUAAGCCUGGGAAACUGGGUCUAAUUCCCGAUAGGACUGCAGGGUGGUGCCUGUGGUGGAAAACGAUUUUCUAGUGGUUGGGGAUGAGCUCGCGGCCUAUCAGCUUGUUGGUGGGGUAAUGGCCUACCAAGGCGGCGACGGGUAGCCGGCCUGAGAGGGUGGACGGCCCCAUUGGGACUGGGAUACGGCCCAGACUCCUACGGGAGGCAGCAGUGGGGAAUAUUACACAAUGGGCGGAAGCCUGAUGCAGCGACGCCGCGUGGGGGAUGACGGCCUUCGGGUUGUAAACUCCUUUCGACCGCGAGGAAGCCGCCUGGUUGGAAGGGUGGUGACGGUAGUGGUAGAAGAAGCACCGGCUAACUACGUG